CGGAACGGAGAGGAAAAGAGAAGAUGGAGAUGGCCGACGGCAGUUGCUGUGCGAACGGAUGGGGCGGCUGACUGCGGUUGGCUGCGGCAGGACGGGAAGAAGAAUAGGGAAAAUGGGUGGGCGGCUUAGGGUACCGGAAGGAGAAGAAAAGAAAAAUGAGAGGGGUUGUGUGCGCGCGAGAGAGAGAGAUAAAUUUCUUUUUCUUUUCUUUUUAUUUAAAUUAAGUAUAAAAAUAUAUAUAUAUAUAAAAUUAAAAACAAAAUAUAUAUAUACAUACCUUUGGGGCAUUACAUUCUUCCCUCCUUAAGAAACUUUCGUCCUCGAAAGUUCUAAUCCUGAAAUAACUCUGGAUAACGAGUCCUCAUUUCUUCCUCUCGCUCCCAUGUCGCCUCUUCAAUUCGAUGAUUCCGCCACAAAACCUUUACUAAUGGAAUGCUUCUAUUACGAAGCAUCUUUACCUCUCUAGCCAGAAUCUCCACAGGUUGUUCUACAUAGCUCAAAUGUUCAUCAAUCUCCAAGGGUUCAUAGUCCACUACAUGAGACGUAUCGGCCACAUACUUCCUCAACAUCGAAACAUGAAAAACAUUAUGAACUGCAGAGAGAGAUGGUGGUAAUGCAAGCGAUACGCCACAACACCAACCUCUCUAAGAUCUCAAAUGGUCAACAAAACGAGGACUUAACUUUCCUUUCUUCUCAAAACGCAUAACACCCUUCAUAGGUGCUACCUUCAAGAAUACCUUUUCUCCCACAUCGAACUUAAGGUCUUUUCGUCGUACAUCCGCAUAACUCUUCUGUCUACUCUGCGCUGUUUGCAUACGUGCUCUAAUCUUUUGAAUAGCCUCAUUAGUAGACCGAACUAAUUCAGGUCCCAUCAAUCUAUGUUCACCAACCUCACUCCAACAAACAGGGGUUCUACAACAUUUGCCAUAUAAAGCCUCAAAUGGUGCCAUACCGAUGGUAGCCUGGAAACUGUUGUUAUAAGCAAACUCCAUCAAAUGUAGAUGAGAGUCCCAACUACCUGGAAACUCUAUAACACAAGCUCGUAGCAUAUCCUCUAAAACUUGGUUCAAACGUUCAGUUUGACCAUCAGUCUGUGGAUGAAAGGCUGUACUGAAAUCCAAUCUGUACCCAUAGCAGUCUGAAGUCCCUUCCAAAACUUGGAAGUAAACCGUGCAUCCCUAUCAGAAACAAUCGAUACAGGCACUCCAUGCAGUCUCACAAUCUUAGUUAAAUACAACUCUGCCCACUUACUAGCAGUAUAAGUGGAUUUUCCUGGUACAAAAUGUGCGAUUUUGUGAGCCUGUCUAUGACAACCAGAAUCACUGUGAAACCCUUCAGGGUCUUAGGCAGCCCUGAAAUAAAAUCCAUCGACACAUUCUCCCACUUCCACUCUGGCACACUUAAAGGUUGUAGUAAACCUGCUGGUUUUUGUCUAGGUGCCUUAACUUGCUGACAUACUAGACACUUACUAACAAAUUCCGCCACUUCUCUCUUCAUAUUCCGCCACCAAUAAAAUCGUUUUAGAUCCUGAUACAUUUUCGUGCUACCAGGAUGCAUGGAAAAUGGGGAAUUAUGGGCUUCAUCUAGUAAGUCAAUCUUAACUGUACUGUUCGCUGGCACACAUAAACGUCUCUCAAACAUCAACCCACCAUCAGAGGAUAUGGAGAACUCAUCAGUCUGCCCUGUUUCAACAAGGCUACGUCUCUCCAUCAAAUAAGGAUCAUUACUCUGAGCAUCAACAAUCUUGUGCCUCAGAGUCGGUUGCACCGUUAAUUGAGCUAGCUGUGAGGUGACUCUCCCACAGACACUUGAAUCUCAGCUCUCUCCAAGUCUCGAUGCAAUGGUACCUGUCUAGUAAUGAGUGCUGCCGAAUGUGAUACUUUUCUACUAAGAGCAUCAGCCACCACAUUCGCCUUACCAGGAUGGUAUAAUAUCUCACAGUCAUAAUCUUUUACCAACUCGAGCCACCUUCGCUGUCUCAUAUUCAACUCCUUCUGAGUGAAGAAGUACUUUAGGCUCUUAUGGUCAGUAAAGAUUUGUAUCUUUUCACCGUACAAGUAAUGUCUCCAUAUCUUCAAUGCAAAAACCACUGCUGCCAACUCCAAAUCAUGUGUGGGGUAGUUCUGCUCGUGACUCUUCAACUGACGAGAGGCAUAAGCAACCACCUUACCUUUCUGCAUCAAAACACAACCCAGUCCUUUCUUGGAAGCAUCACUGUAAAUCACAAAACUUCCAGAUCCAUCUGGUACAGUAAGGACCGGUGCAGUAACUAACCUUUGCUUAAGUUCUGAAAACUAUCCUCACAAGCUGGACUCCAAACAAACGGAGUUCCCUUCCUUGUCAACUGAGUCAAAGGAGUAGCCAAACGUGAAAAAUCCUCCACAAACCUCCGGUAGUACCCUGCUAAACCCAGAAAACUACGAACCUCACAACUGUGGAGGGUCGAGACCAACUGGUAACCGCUUCUAUCUUUGCAGGGUCUACUGAAACUCCCUCACUGGAAACCACAUGACCAAGAAAAGCCACCUGCUUCAACCAAAAUUCGCACUUCGAGAACUUAGCAUACAGUUUAUUGACUCGAAGAGUCUCUAACACCUUAUGUAAUGUUCCUCAUGUUCGCUUCAGUCUUGGAAUAAACCAAAAUAUCAUCAAUGAAGACUAUCACAAAAGUGUCCAAGAAAUCCUUAAACACCCUGUUCAUCAAAUCCAUAAAUACAGCAGGUGCAUUAGUCAAACCAAAAGACAUACUAUGAAUUCAUAAUGUCCAUACCUCGAACGAAAGCAGUCUUAGGAAUAUCACGGUCUCUAAUCCUCAACUGGUGAUAACCUGACCGUAAGUCAAUCUUAGAGAACACCGUGGCUCCCUGUAACUGAUCGAACAAAUCAUCGAUUCUGGGUAAAGGAUACCUGUUCUUGACUGUUACUUUAUUCAACUCUCUAUAGUCAAUGCAAAGACGCAUCGACCCAUCCUUCUUCUUCACAAACAAUACUGGUGCACCCCAAGGUGACACACUAGGUCGAAUAAAGCCUUUGUCAAGCAAUUCCUGUAACUGUACCUUCAGUUCUUUCAACUCAGCAGGAGCCAUCCUAUAAGGGGCUCUAGAAAUAGGAGUAGUGUUUGGCUCCAACUCAAUGGCAAAAUCAACCUCUCUAUGUGGCGGUAGUCCUGGAAGAUCUUUUGGAAAUACAUCUGGGUAUUCUCUUACCACAGGUUCUGAAGUUAAAGAAGUCUCACCUUCCCUAGUAUCCACCACACUUGCCAAAAUACUCCAAGUACCCUGGCUGAGUAGUUUACUAGCUUUCAUAGCUGAGAUUACUUUAGGCAGUACUACUGUUCCUACUCCCUUGAAUUUAAAGCUAGAUGCAGUAGGGGGACUAAACACAACUUCCUUACGAGAACAAUCAAUACUAGCAUGAUUAGUAGCUAGCCAAUCCAUACCUAAAAUUACAUCAAAGUCACGCAUAUCUAAUACCAACAAGGUUACGUCCAGUACACGACCAGCUAUCAAUUUCACAUGCUUUAAUCUUUUCCUUAGACAACAUAAUUUCUCCAGACGGUGUAGACACUGACAAAACAUAGUCUAAGGGUUCCACUCUAAGCAUGCAUGCGUCACAAAAAGCGAUGAAAUAAAUGAAUGAGAAGAUCCCGAGUCAAACAAGGUCAAGGCAAAAUGCCCAAUACUGGUAAUGUACCUGUCACUACUGUGCCGGCCUUCUCUGCCUCUGAUCUAUUAGUGGCAAAGAUUGUACCCCGCUGUGGAGGUCUCUCUCCCUGACUGCUCGAUCCAGCCCCAGUAGAUCUCAAGGGACACCUAUCAGCCAUGUGUCCCUCUUGCUUGCACUUAUAACAGACUCUCGUUCCCAUCAAACAACGACCCAGGUGGCGUUUCCCACACGUAUUACAUACUGGCCUCUCUUGAGUAGUGUCUCCUGCACCGCCAGAACUCUGCUGGAAACUGCGAAAAGAAUCACCGGUCUCAUGUUCCUCUGAGGAACUCCUACAGUUCUCUGCUCUACUUUUCUCUUUUGACCCGACGACGAUCCCUUAUUAAAGCUCCUUGGCUGUCUUUCAUCCUUCCCAAUACUCAUAUCCACUGCCAGACGCAGUGCUUCAGCUUGGGUAGUGGGCUUUAGUGCUCGCACAAAACCCCUAAUUUCAUCUCUCAAUCCCUUGACGAACCUAUCAGCUCUAGCCUGCUCAUUACUAACAAGCUCAGGGGCAAAACGUGACAGCAUAUCAAACUCCUGGUCGUACUCCUCGACUGUCAUAUAUCCUUGCUUCAACUCCAAGAAUUCCUGGCUUUUGGCGUCUCUAAGGUUAGCCGAGAAAAACUUGGUAUAGAAGCAGUCCUUAAACUGAUCCCAGGUAAUCUGCCUCACAUCUCCACCUAGCAUGCGCAUUGUAGUCCUCCACCAGAUAAUGCCUCUGUCCCUCAGUAGAAAAGCAGCACACUGAACUCUGUGCUCCUCAGGACAUCUCAUGUAAUUAAAUAUGGUUUCCACAGAGGACAACCACAUUUCAGCUUUAGUAGGAUCCUCCAGUGACCCAUCAAACGUCUGAGGGUCAUACUUCCGAAAGUCCCUCAAAUGUUUCGCCUCAGCAGAAAGUUGGUUAGGUAAUUCUUGUGCAGGAGGGGCUGCUGGUGCAGGGGGAACUACAGGUGCAGGUGGACUGCAGGUGCCUGCUGGUUUUGAGCUAUGGCUGUCAUAAGUUCUGUAAACCUCUGCUCCAUGUGAGCAGACAGUGCAUCAAACUCAACGUGAGUCACGGGUGCAGCAGGAAUUCGCUGUUCAGCUUGACCCUCAGUAGGCUGAUUACGACCUGCUCCUCUACCUCGGCCUCCUGCUCCUCUACCUCGGCCUCUACGACCUCCUCUACGUACUUCUUCCCUUGGCGGCAUAAUUCCUAUUAUCCACCAACAACACUCUUUAACAAAAUCUUAAUCAUAAACAUAAGCAAGUCUUUAUCGUCAUGCAAUCUAGUUUAAUUUAGGCAAGGUCAUGCAAAUAAACCAUACAUAUAAGCAUCAAGCAUACCUGACGAGAGACGAAGGGUCGCGUUAGCCAUAGGAACACAAAAACAUAGACUUACAUCGUAAGUCAGUCUACAGAACCUAAAACUUAGGCUCUGAUACCAACUGUAACGACCCAACUUUUCUAGGUAAGUCGAGGUCAUUAAUUUUUAACAAAAGACUUUGAUUGAUACAAAAUGAAACGUAAGUCAAUUUAAAAACAAAUUAUGUCAGGCCUGAUUUUCAAAUAUUCAAGAAAACUUAAAAAUAACACUAUUUACAAAUAAAAGUUUGUAAACUAAGUUUUAGUACAUCUUAAACUCUUAAAGAAAUCAUAAGCGGAAGCAAAAUACACGUUUCCUAUGGCAAUCACGCUUCCUUCCUGCCCCUCGCCGGUUUGCCACCUUUAUUUCCUUUGCCUGAAAAUUAAACAUAAGAAGGGUGAGUAUAACAAUACUCAGUAAGAGACCCUCUACUGGUCUCGUCAGGGGAAAAUAAAUUGUUAAAGUUCUAUUGGGACACCCUGUACAGUCGCAGUCUUGUGAUCCCGUAGGAUACACAUUCAGUCUAACGCCCCGAAGGACGUACAUAUCAGUCUAACGCCCCGAGGGACGUACAUAUCAGUCUAGUGUUCUGCAGAACACAUAUCAGUCAAAUGCUCCCGAAGGUGCAAAAUAAAUUGGUGAUCCCGUGGGACACCUACAAGGUAAACAUCCCAAUACAACCUAACAAUUUAUCCCCUCAUUCCAUUCAACCCAUCUUUCAGUUACUUCAAACACAAAGUUCUUUCUUUCAACAUCCUAACAGUCAACUUAUACUACAGUCAUAUGUCUGUCAAUAAUAUGCUAAUACAUCAGUCAAUCACUAUACAGUCAAGUCAAUACACCCUCAGUUCACCAGCACAAACCACAGUUCAGUAUAAUCCACAUCCAACCGAAACAAAUUCACUAGUUCACAUCCAAUCUUUAUACAGCACAAUCUAUUAAUAUCAUCAUGUACACAUAAGCAUAAUUUCAGUCAUUCACAUGUAUACUUUCGGCAAUCCACAUCAAUUCACACAUCAAUGUAUAUAUAUAUGUUUCCAGUCAAAUACAACAUACACUAAACAUUUAGUCUGCAAUCAAACAUGUACAUCUUAAUCAUCAUCCAUACAGUCCAACACAACUCAAAAACUUUAGGUGAGUCCAGUAGAAAAUCCCUUACCUUCAAAUUUGUUAAGCUCCUUAACCACGUUGAAGUCUAUGAAGAACGAACCUAAACAUUAAGACAAUUUCUCAAUAAUUCCCUUCAACGCAUCAGUCAUUUAAAUUCAACCCAAUGUGAAUCUUUUUGCAACUUACCCAAAUCUUCGCGAAGAAAUCGAGCAGUGGCUUUGCGAAGAGAUGACGUGCGACGGAGAGACCGUAUACUGAUGGCCGGAGAGUCGCGCGGCAGUGCAGACGACGGAGGAGAAGGAAUCGGCGGCGGCUGGGCUGAAAACAGAGGAGAAAGGAGAGGGAGACAGCCGGCGGUUACAGGUUCACGCAGCGGCCUUGCUUCGCGAACAGAGAUGGCGGCCGACGGUUGCAGCGACGUCCGGCUGGGUUUGGACGGAACGGAGAGGAAAAGAAGAUGGAGAUGGCCGACGGCAGUUGCUGUGCGAACGGAUGGGGCGGCUGACUGCGGUUGGCUGCGGCAGGACGGGAAGAAGAAUAGGGAAAAUGGUGUGGCGGCUGCUAGGGUACCGGAAGGAGAAGAAAAGAAAAAUGAGAGAGGGGUUGUGUGCGGCGAGAGAGAGAGAUAAAUUUCUUUUUCUUUUCUUUUAUUUAAAUUAAGUAUAAAAAUAUAUAUAUAUAUAUAAAAUUAAAAACAAAAUAUAUAUAUACAUACCUUUGGGGCAUUACAGAUACAGCUUCAGUAUCAGAAAUGGGUAGCGAAGCUAACGGGAUACUCAUUUGAGGUGGUCUACAAACCCGGCUUGGAGAAUAAAGCAGCAGACGUCUUAUCUUGGAUGCCUCCUACAGUUAACCUCGGUAGCAUAACAGCUCCUACAUUGGUUGACAUUCUGGUGAUUAAAAAGGAAGUCGAAGCGGAUGAAAAGUUGAGCAAAAUAAUGGAAGAACUACAAGCAAUGGAAGAAGGAACAGAGGGUAAAUUCUCCAUCCGACAAGGUAUGUUAAGAUAUAAGGAUAAGUUUGUGCUGUCCAAAACAUCUACAUUGAUACCCACAAUCCUACAUACUUACCAUGAUUCGGUACUUGGAGACC
RNAcentral lists this long non-coding RNA (7258 nucleotides) under Cucumis sativus (cucumber). RNAcentral's name for it is "long non-coding RNA (CSAT_LNC002380)". The record is from RNAcentral. Lineage: Eukaryota; Viridiplantae; Streptophyta; Magnoliopsida; Cucurbitales; Cucurbitaceae.